AUUGAACGCUGGCGGCAGGCCUAACACAUGCAGUCGCGCGGAUGAAGGGAGCUUGCUCCUGGAUUCAGCGGCGGACGGGUGAGUAAUGCCUAGGAAUCUGCCUGGUAGUGGGGGAUAACGUCCGGAAACGGGCGCUAAUACCGCAUACGUCCUGAGGGAGAAAGUGGGGGAUCUUCGGACCUCACGCUAUCAGAUGAGCCUAGGUCGGAUUAGCUAGUUGGUGGGGUAAAGGCCUACCAAGGCGACGAUCCGUAACUGGUCUGAGAAGAUGAUCAGUCACACUGGAACUGAGACACGGUCCAGACUCCUACGGGAGGCAGCAGUGGGGAAUAUUGGACAAUGGGCGAAAGCCUGAUCCAGCCAUGCCGCGUGUGUGAAGAAGGUCUUCGGAUUGUAAAGCACUUUAAGUUGGGAGGAAGGGCAGUAAGUUAAUACCUUGCUGUUUUGACGUUACCAACAGAAUAAGCACCGGCUAACUUCGUG
This 483-nucleotide ribosomal RNA is filed under the name uncultured bacterium. RNAcentral's name for it is "partial 16S ribosomal RNA". It matches the Rfam family "Bacterial small subunit ribosomal RNA", at positions 30 to 507 of the family's 1533-position model. The record is from RNAcentral.